UACGCUGGCGACACGCCUGAACACAUGCAAGUCGAACGAAGUAGCAAUACUUAGUGGCAGACGGGUGAGUAACAUGUAGGUAUCUACCCUUUGGCCUGGAAUAACACGAGGAAACUUGUGCUAAUACCGGAUAAGUCUUUACAGAGAAAGCUUUAUGCACCAUUGGAUGAGCCUGCACUUGAUUAGUUUGUUGGUGGGGCAAUGGCCUACCAAGACUAUGAUCAAUAGCUGAUUUGAGAGGAUGAUCAGCCACAUUGGGACUGAGACACGGCCCAAACUCCUACGGGAGGCAGCAGUGGGGAAUCUUGCACAAUGGAGGAAACUCUGAUGCAGCGAUGCCGCGUGAGUGAAGAAGGCCUUUGGGUUGUAAAGCUCUUUCGUCGGGGAAGAAAAUGACUGUACCCGAAUAAGAAGGUCCGGCUAACUUCGUGCC
Molecule: ribosomal RNA, 433 nt
Filed under: uncultured Alphaproteobacteria bacterium
Lineage: Bacteria; Pseudomonadati; Pseudomonadota; Alphaproteobacteria
Description: bacterial SSU rRNA
Rfam family: Bacterial small subunit ribosomal RNA
Source: RNAcentral